AUGAAGUUCAAUGGACAAAUUUCAGGGAAUGGAGAGAGUUCUUUGGGUGAAUGGCUUCCUAGCAAAGUCCCAUCCACUUCUUUAUCUUCAGCUAGAUCCAAGGGGUUUUGGGUUCACUGCUCAGAAAGGUCUCCUGUCUCAGAGGUAUCUCUCAGACUAACCAUUCCAGGAGCACUCCCAAAGAGAAAUGAGGGAAAGAGCUUGUCACUUUGGAUUAACAAUUGCACAAGUCUCCAUGCUGAGCCAAGCACUGAAGAAAUAUUAAAUGGCUCAAGGACUCCUGAAGGUACAGGCAUUACCCAGGCAUUUGGGAAAAUGGAAAGUGGAAGUAAAAUUGAUUUAGUUAAAUUUUAUUUUCUGCUUUUCUAAAAAAAAAUGAUGGUUGAGGAAUGAAGGAAGGGAAAAAAUGGAGGUAUUAGAUUAACACCAAGUAUGUAAUAUAAGAAUUAGAUUAAUAAAAUCCUGACUUGUUCAAAAAAAAGAAAACA
Molecule: long non-coding RNA, 488 nt
Filed under: Monodelphis domestica (gray short-tailed opossum)
Lineage: Eukaryota; Metazoa; Chordata; Mammalia; Didelphimorphia; Didelphidae
Description: lncRNA (ENSMODG00000046845.1)
Source: RNAcentral